Molecule: ribosomal RNA, 1920 nt
Filed under: Triticum aestivum (bread wheat)
Lineage: Eukaryota; Viridiplantae; Streptophyta; Magnoliopsida; Poales; Poaceae
Description: partial small subunit ribosomal RNA
Source: RNAcentral
AUGGUGCAGCCUGAGUAUGGGAUCACUCGAACAGCACUACGUAAAGUUGUGUUUGCAGCAAGAGAUGAGUCAGCAUGCAAAACCUGGAGGGGGCACUCAGCAUAUGUCACCAGGAUGGAGUGCUUGAAUGAACAAGACGCUUUUGAACUCUUCGCCCAUCAUGCGGGGAAUACCAUCACGAAGGACCAGCGAAUCCUUCAGCUUGCACAUGAGAUCGCUGAAGAGUGCAGUGGCUUACCAAUUGCUUUGUGCAAGAUUGGAGAAGCUAUGUCUCCAAAAACAGAGGUCGAUGAAUGGAGAGGUGCUCUUCGGCUAUUGAAGACGUCAAAUCUUGAUGGAAUCUCAGAUGGAUACGAGGAUGUGUUUCAACAGCUGAAAAUAAGUUUUGAUCAGAUAGGGAAACAGCUACAGAAUCGAUUUCUGAUAUGCUCUUUGUGGCCCGAGAAUGAGAACAUUCCUGUAGAAAAGCUAACUGAGUGGUGGAUGGGGCUUGGGUUGAUUGAAGCUUCUGAUCGUGUUACAACAGGGAAGCGCACAAUCUGUCACCUGCUGAGUUCUUCAUUGUUAGAAAAAGGUGACACCGGAAUGUUUUGUGCCGAGACUUCUCACGUUAAGAUGCAUAAAAUGUUUCAGAAAAUGGCUCAGUGGGUUGUUAAUAAUCAAGGAGAAGAGAAACCGUGGUUGCCACUAUCCCUCUGUGAACGUUCGACAUUACCAGGGCCGAAAUGGUGUUCAAUAGAAAGAGCUUGGGUAUCACGACUAGAAACUGGGAGAUGGGAAAAUAACAGAACUAUUUUGUCUUCAACAUCUUCCCCAGGCCCCCCACCAUUAACUAUGCUGAUAUCAUCCCAUGCCUUCUCAUUGGAUCUAAUCACGUGUUGUCAGAAAAUCACGUUUUUGGAUCUGGAGGGGACAGGUAUAAGUGAAUUCCCGUACGCCAUUUGCUCUUUGCGUGAAGUGCAGUAUCUUAACCUUUCUGGCACAAGAAUAGAAGAAUUGCCUCAGGAAAUGCGCCGACUGUCGAAGCUUAAAUUCUUGCUUGUUAGAGAUGCCGGGGCUCUCCAAAGGGUAGCUAAAGAAUUAAUCCGAAGUCUGAUAGAUCUGGUUAUGGUGGAUCUUUUCUGUUCCAGUGGCUUUUCUACUCAUGUUGAGUAUGCGCCAUCACUUCUGGCUGAACUAGCCACCCCUGGUAUAGAGCUUGCACUUGGCUUCACGGCACAGAGCAUGACACAUUUGAGUGAACUAGGGAAGUUGCAAUGGGUCCGUACAGAGGCACUGUGCUUGCACCAUUUUGAAGAGAAGUCAAAACUUGUUGACCUGCACCUUGUCGUUAAUUUACGGAGUCUGCGAGAACUGACUAUCAGGGACACAUCUGAAAACCUUGAGCUCUUAAUAGCUGAGCAUGGCACAAGUUUGCUCCAUAGCCUGAACUUCCUUGAGCUGAACAAUCUGAGGAAACUAAAGGAAAUAAAGUGGAGAAAUGCAGGUAAUGACAUCACAGUGGUUAACAUUUGUCAUUGUGAUAAAUUGAAACAAAUCACAUGGGUCUGUGAGCUUCAGCAACUGGAGCAGCUGACAGUUACAUAUUGCCAAGAAAUGGAGCAACUUUUUUCCACCUCAAAGUUGCGCCCUCAUCAAGUGGUAACUGGCUUUCCUAAAAUGAGAAGACUCUAUUUGGAGAACUUGCCGAAGCUGUCGAUUUUUUUUGAGAAAGCUAUGGAGCUGGAUGAACUGACAUAUGUUUGUAUCACUGGGUGUGCAAAACUGAAGCCCCUAAAUGUUAGUAAAGCCAGUGACAACAACAAGAUCAGAUUAGAAUGUGAUAAAGAUUGGUGGCAUGGCUUAGGAGGUGGUCAGGCAAUCAUGAGCUGUUUCAAACCAUGUUGUUGCUGGGAGAAGGUCGAGGACGAGGAAAUUUGA